Molecule: ribosomal RNA, 253 nt
Filed under: uncultured bacterium
Lineage: Bacteria
Description: partial 16S ribosomal RNA
Rfam family: Bacterial small subunit ribosomal RNA
Source: RNAcentral
UACAGAGGUCCCAAGCGUUGUUCGGAUUCACUGGGCGUAAAGGGUGCGUAGGCGGUCGGGUAAGUCUGACGUGAAAUCUUCAAGCUUAACUUGGAAACUGCGUCGGAUACUAUUCGGCUAGAGGAAUGGAGGGGAGACUGGAAUACUUGGUGUAGCAGUGAAAUGCGUAGAUAUCAAGUGGAACACCAGUGGCGAAGGCGGGUCUCUGGACAGUUCCUGACGCUGAGGCACGAAGGUCAGGGGAGCAAACGGG